CAAAUGACUCUCAGCAACGGAUAUCUUGGCUCUUGCAACGAUGAAGAACGCAGCGAAAUGCGAUACCUAGUGUGAAUUGCAGAAUUCCGCGAAUCAUCGAGUUUUUGAACGCAAGUUGCGCCCGAGGCUCGUUCCGAGGGCAUGCCUGCCUGAGCGUCCGCUCCAACCCACCCACAAAUCUCUC
RNAcentral lists this ribosomal RNA (184 nucleotides) under Cheilolejeunea fulva. RNAcentral's name for it is "Aureolejeunea fulva 5.8S ribosomal RNA". The stretch from base 6 to 159 matches the Rfam family "5.8S ribosomal RNA". From Rfam's summary of the family: 5.8S ribosomal RNA (5.8S rRNA) is a component of the large subunit of the eukaryotic ribosome. It is transcribed by RNA polymerase I as part of the 45S precursor that also contains 18S and 28S rRNA. Lineage: Eukaryota; Viridiplantae; Streptophyta; Jungermanniopsida; Porellales; Lejeuneaceae. The record is from RNAcentral.